Molecule: long non-coding RNA, 586 nt
Organism: Nerophis ophidion (straightnose pipefish)
Lineage: Eukaryota; Metazoa; Chordata; Actinopteri; Syngnathiformes; Syngnathidae
Exons: 2
Source: RefSeq, a predicted model, not a curated record
GGGCAGAGCAGAAGUAGCGUUGUUCUCAGGUGGUGUGUCAACACGGUACUAUCCAUCCAGUGCGCAGAUGUGAGGAGGCGUGCCGGGGGAAGUAAUAAUGGCGAGGGAGCUUAUCGACGAUGGUGUCAAGACGGCGCCCUGCCUUAUGGGGUGGCUCUUACAGGUGCAUGUCUUUGGAAGUGGGAGGAAGCCGGAGUACCCGGAGGAAACCCACGCAUUCAUGGGGAAGACAUGCAAACUCCACACAGAAAGAUCCCGAGCCCAGGAUUGAACCAUGACUACUCAGGACCUUCGUAUUGUGAGGCAGACGCACUAACCCCUCUGCCACCGUGAAGCCCGGACUUUUUAACUUCUUAUAUGAUAUUGGAGCCCUGUGUAUUGGCUGAUAGCCAUAUAUCAUCAGCAUUACAUACUUUUGCUGUUGUGUCGUGUGGAAUUUUAGAGAAGGCUUGACCAAGUGAAAUAACUCAGAAUAGUAGGUGUGAAAAGGACUAACCAGAUGACAGAUUUAUGCUUUAUUUUUGGCUGGCGACACAGAGUGCUCACAAUAAUCUAUCAAAUAAAACGCAUGAUGCAGUAAGUUGUA